UCGAGGUUGGCGCUGAUGUUAUGAUCCCUUUAUUAAAUAUACUUGAUUUCCUAAACGUUGUCAUUGGCUUUGUUGAUGCUGUUGAUGUUGUCUAAGAAAUGUUUUUAAGAAAUUAAUCCCACUACCAAAUACAUCACGAAGAUGGCAAAAUAUAAAAUGACCACACAUUAAAGAUUUGCACACAUUGUGUCCUGAUGAUUAUACUAAAGAAAGAUUGGAUUAAUGGUAGACUCACCUCUUUUAGUACUGUUGGAAACUUUAAGAGCAAACAAUGAGAUUCACUUUCAAGAUUUUCUUUGGUUGUUUCGCUUUCACAGGUAACUACUAGUUUCAUCAAAUAACCCUGGUACUUAUUUAAUGCGCUAUUUUGCACUUGGAUUAUCAAAAAUAAAAGAAAAACAAAUA
Molecule: long non-coding RNA, 405 nt
Organism: Xenia sp. Carnegie-2017
Lineage: Eukaryota; Metazoa; Cnidaria; Anthozoa; Malacalcyonacea; Xeniidae
Exons: 2
Source: RefSeq, a predicted model, not a curated record